GCUCAUCGCAUCCUGGGGCUGUAGUCGGUCCCAAGGGUUGGGCUGUUCGCCCAUUAAAGCGGUACGCGAGCUGGGUUCAGAACGUCGUGAGACAGUUCGGUCCCUAUCCGUCGUGGGCGUAGGAAAUUUGAGAGGAGCUGUCCUUAGUACGAGAGGACCGGGAUGGACAUACCUCUGGUGUACCAGUUGUCGUGCCAACGGCAUAGCUGGGUAGCUAUGUGUGGACGGGAUAAGUGCUGAAAGCAUCUAAGCAUGAAGCCCCCCUCAAGAUGAGAUUUCCCAACUUCGGUUAUAAGAUCCCUCAAAGAUGAUGAGGUUAAUAGGUUCGAGGUGGAAGCAUGGUGACAUGUGGAGCUGACGAAUACUAAUCGAUCGAAGACUUAAUCAAAA
This 390-nucleotide ribosomal RNA is filed under the name Staphylococcus aureus. RNAcentral's name for it is "bacterial LSU rRNA". It matches the Rfam family "Bacterial large subunit ribosomal RNA", at positions 2535 to 2925 of the family's 2925-position model. Lineage: Bacteria; Bacillati; Bacillota; Bacilli; Caryophanales; Staphylococcaceae. The record is from RNAcentral.